Molecule: ribosomal RNA, 449 nt
Filed under: Lacticaseibacillus rhamnosus
Lineage: Bacteria; Bacillati; Bacillota; Bacilli; Lactobacillales; Lactobacillaceae
Description: bacterial SSU rRNA
Rfam family: Bacterial small subunit ribosomal RNA
Source: RNAcentral
GCAGUCGAACGAGUUCUGAUUAUUGAAAGGUGCUUGCAUCUUGAUUUAAUUUUGAACGAGUGGCGGACGGGUGAGUAACACGUGGGUAACCUGCCCUUAAGUGGGGGAUAACAUUUGGAAACAGAUGCUAAUACCGCAUAAAUCCAGAACCGCAUGGUUCUUGGCUGAAAGAUGGCGUAAGCUAUCGCUUUUGGAUGGACCCGCGGCGUAUUAGCUAGUUGGUGAGGUAACGGCUCACCAAGGCAAUGAUACGUAGCCGAACUGAGAGGUUGAUCGGCCACAUUGGGACUGAGACACGGCCCAAACUCCUACGGGAGGCAGCAGUAGGGAAUCUUCCACAAUGGACGCAAGUCUGAUGGAGCAACGCCGCGUGAGUGAAGAAGGCUUUCGGGUGUAAAACUCUGUUGUUGGAGAAGAAUGGUCGGCAGAGUAACUGUGUCGGCGUGACG